CCUACGGGCGGCAGCAGUGGGGAAUAUUGGACAAUGGGCGAAAGCCUGAUCCAGCCAUGCCACGUGUGUGAAGAAGGCCUUCGGGUUGUAAAGCACUUUCAGUGGGGAAGAAAGCCUUGGGGCUAAUACCCUCGAGGAAGGACAUCACCCACAGAAGAAGCACCGGCUAACUCCGUGCCAGCAGCCGCGGUAAUACGGAGGGUGCGAGCGUUAAUCGGAAUUACUGGGCGUAAAGCGCGCGUAGGCGGUCUGAUAAGCCGGUUGUGAAAGCCCCGGGCUCAACCUGGGAACGGCAUCCGGAACUGUCAGGCUAGAGUGCAGGAGAGGAAGGUAGAAUUCCCGGUGUAGCGGUGAAAUGCGUAGAGAUCGGGAGGAAUACCAGUGGCGAAGGCGGCCUUCUGGACUGACACUGACGCUGAGGUGCGAAAGCGUGGGUAGCAAACAGGAUUAGAUACCCCUGUAGUC
This 465-nucleotide ribosomal RNA is filed under the name Vreelandella stevensii. RNAcentral describes it as "partial 16S ribosomal RNA". It matches the Rfam family "Bacterial small subunit ribosomal RNA", at positions 338 to 795 of the family's 1533-position model. The record is from RNAcentral. Lineage: Bacteria; Pseudomonadati; Pseudomonadota; Gammaproteobacteria; Oceanospirillales; Halomonadaceae.